This 4070-nucleotide long non-coding RNA is filed under the name Sus scrofa (pig). RNAcentral describes it as "lncRNA (ENSSSCG00000060945.1)". Lineage: Eukaryota; Metazoa; Chordata; Mammalia; Artiodactyla; Suidae. The record is from RNAcentral.
UUUUUUUUUUUUUUGUCUUUUUGUCUUUUCAGAGCUGCAUUCACAGCAUAUGGAGGUUCCCAGGCUAGGGGUCUAAUCGGAGCUGUUGCUGCUGGCCUGCGCCAGAGUCACAGCAAUGCCAGAUCCGAGCUGUGUCUGCGACCUACACCACAGCUCACCACAACGCGGGAUCCUUAACCCACUGAGAAAGGCCAGGGAUUGAACCUGCAAGCUCAUGGUUCCUAGUCAGAUUUGUUUCUGCUGCGCCAUGACUGGGAACUCCCCAAAAAUCAAUUUGUAAUCUUGAGUGAACAGUGUACCAAGUAUCAUUAGCUAGGAUGAAAUACACAAGAUUAACAUGUAUAAACUCUUUCAAAUAUGAAAUGUAAUUUUCUAUCUCUUUCUGUAUUUUUCAUCCACUAAAAUCUGGAGUUGGUGUUAUUAUAUGUGCAACAGAGUGAAAACAUUUUUACAAAUGGAAAAAAAAACCCUGGCGCUCUUCAUAAACACUUGCUUCCAAGAAUUCUUCUUAAGUACUUGCUCUAUAGUUGGUCCUUCAAAACAAGAAAAUAAGCAGAAAGUCCAAUUUCAAAGAUUUUUUUAAGCAAUAAAAUAACCUUGUUUUAUGUUCAAAGGUAAUUUCUUCUCUUAUUACAGACUAUAUUUAAAGACAAGCAAUGUGAUACUGUGAAACAUCCUUAAAAGCUACUGAAUUUAUUAGGAAGAUGCAUGUGUUCCUGUAUCAAACAGAUAAAAAUAAUGUUAGCCCUUAGGUUUAUUUCAUUCCACUCAGCUACAGUUAACUCUUAAUAUAGUUCCAGCAUAAAGAAUCCCAAAGUUAACACUAGAAUUGGAAAGUAAUAUGCUCAGAAGAUGGAAAAGUCUGUAGUCAAUGAGAAUGUGGACAAUGUGAAGAGAUUUUUGUGUGCUAGACAUGUGGCUUCCCAUCACAGUGCUGCAAAUUAAUUUUGGUGAUUACUCAUCUCUGAUUCUAGGUUUCCUUAUCUGCAAAGGGGUUUAAAGAUAAUCAAACUUAAAGUUGUAGCAUGAAUUCAAGUAAUAUGUAACAAGUAACAUGCCUAAAGUGCAUGCCACUAUAAGCACUCAUUUAUUCAAAAACCAAUGACUAUUAUAAAAACCUAUUACGUACCCAAUCUCCUGAUGAGGAGAUAUAAGUGAACAAGAUCAAUACCUUUUUUACAGGCAUAUUUUAUCAGAAAGUAAUGAAGUUUUGUGUCAGAAAUUCAAAUUGAGGAAUAUUCUUCAGAAUAACUGGCUUGUACUCUUCAUAAAUGCCAAGAAAGAUAGGGGGAGGUUGCACAAUUGUUUCACAAUAAAAGUCUAAAAACGUGAAGAAAAGUCAUGCAGUACACGACUCUAGAUUGGAUCUGGGAUGGGGGAUAAGUGUCUACAGAGGACAUCAGUGAAUAAGUGGACAAACUAGAAUAUGAACUGUAGAUGUGGUAAUAUUAUAACAAUGUGAAACAUCCCAAUUUUGACAACCAUUCUCUUGUAAGAGGAUAUCCUUUCAUUUUGGGAAGAUUCAUUUCAGUAUCUAGGGGUCAAGAAGCAAAAUGUUCCCAAUAACCCUCACAAAGACUCAAAAGCAAGGAAGAGAGAGAGGGAGGAGGCAUGCAGGGGGGAUAACAAUAAAGCAAAAGGGCAAAGUGCAAAUAAUUAGUGCAUCUGAGUAAAGUCUACCUAAGAGGUUAUAAAUUCUUAAAAUUUUUUCUGUUAAGUUUCAAAUUACAUAAAAACAAAAGGAAGCUUGAAAGAAGGUAGGGAGUGAGUCAAGGAGUAUUUAUUUGCUUUUUCCUUCGUUUGGAGUCUGCCUUUCUGGAGUAAAUUUUGCUAAUCUUAGAGUUUCAGCAGUAGAAAUAGAGACUUACUCUUUCGUUUUCCCCUCACAUUGAGUACUAUAGUUCUACCUCGGUGGAUCUGAUGAAAUCAAUAAUUUAUAGUACAGGAGUUUAGGUAGAAUUACGUUACUGACUUGAAUGAAUUGAAGAAAAUGCCUAAACACCUGGCACAAUUUCUAAAGCUGUCGCUUUAUUGGAAAACAAACUCAAUGUGUAACAAAUUUUAAAAAGCAUAUUGACAUUUCAAAGCUAAGGAACUGAUCUUUACCUUCAUUUCCCAUAAUGAGUCAGAGAAAUGAAGAACUUUAAGUUAGAAAGUCAUGCAUCUGUGACUUUCAGUUUGAUUACUCCUGCAUUUCUUGGACUGUGAAAGAUCUAUAAUGUGAAGCCAUGCUCUGUAAUCAGAGUUGCUCAUUAUAUUGAUUUCUCGAUUAUUCUAAUUAAUAGUGUUGCACAUAAACCCUUUGGUGUCAACCAGAAGAUUUCCUUCUGAUUUUUAGAAUAAGUGUGCGUGCAUAUGCCUAUGAAUAUAUGCAUUUGCUUAUAUGUGUUUUAGAACCGACAACCAUGAUUACAAACCUAAAAGAAAACAUGUAAACAGAUGAAAAUGUUUACAGGAUGGGAAAAAUGAGGCUGAAUACUUGUGGAAAGUAUUGUCCAUACAAAGAAAAAAUUUACCUUUGACUUGUGAAAACUGGGUACUUGUGAAAAUCAAAAUCAUGAAAGUACUAUCAUGGGCAUUAUUUUAAGUUUUUAUAUUUGGCACAGCUGGCUUCUUUUGACCUAUUUCAAACUUAGGCAAGGAAAUAAUAUUUGGUCUAUUUUAUUCAAAUUCCUUAAAAGUCCAUAAUGUAAAAACAAUUCAAUUCUCCCCAACUUACUGUUUUAAAUGUUGGCAAUCAACAUUUGAGUAUUUAUUUUAAAAUAUAGGAUGAAUGAAAAUUCAAGCCUGGAACUUCCACUUCCAGCGAGGUUGGGGUAUAGAAGAACAAAAAUCCUACUAGGAGUAAAAAAUAUGAUGAAAUUUUAAACAGUGGAUUUGAAACAAUUAGAGAGCUAGUAAAGUAGCCAGUUUUGAAGAACUGGCUGAUCCUGGAAAGAAGGAAGUCUUAUUAAGGUAAGUUAAAUUUUCUGUACAUUGGCUUUCUCUUUGGGGCAUUUGCUGAUUCUUCACACACAUCAAGAUGUGGCUCAGUAGGGUAGAAAAGCUGCUAAGUGCCCAAAACAUAAAAGAGCUUUUGGUGAUUUCACAGGGUCGGGGAAACAAACAAACAAAACAUAGUUCUGAUACGACAUGGCAUUUGGGACUUGAUUGACAUAAUUCCAAUGAGGCAUGAAGGUCACACAAGUGAGAUUAACACGCAUGGCCUGUUGUCCCAUUGAGCCAUUAUCUGAUUAAGCUACUUAAAAAAAGAUGCAAAGGAGCCAAGCAGAAAAUACAUGAAGAGAAGCCAAAUAUGACUAAAGGGUAGUGAGACAUUUUCAGUAUUCCCAGAGUACAAGGGAGAUCAAAAAUCAUUCUUCAAGACCUCUAAGGGGAAGUGGAACUAAUAAACACUCCAGGUUCUAACUGGGACCCUUAGAGGGAUACAGCAUAGGUGUGGGGGUAAACCAGAGGCAGGCUGCACAUUACCAAGACUGUAAAGUAGCAUCAAGUUAGUUCAAGGUCUGAUGGAAUUUAGGUGCUCUGUCUCUUUGGCCAGCAGAGGAUAGGGUAAAUCAUUAAAAUUUUUCAUAUGCAGCAUUGGCAGUGAAACCAAACUGUUUGGAAUGCUACAAAAUAGAACCAGAAGAAAAAAAGAAACAAUAGAAAAUGACACAAAUAAUCCAGUUAUCUGAUGAAAUGUUUAAAUAAUUGUGAUGAAUGUCAUUUGAUAAACAGAUGACAGUUUGGAGAAUUUUAACAGAAAAUAAGAAAAGGGUCAAAUGAAAACUCUGGAAUUGAGAAAUACAAUAACGAAAAUUAGCACAAGAGAUGGGACACAGAUGAAGAGAGGAUGAGUGAACUUGGAAGACAGAGCUGUAGAAAAUAUCUAUGCUAUAACACAGAUGGAAAGCACAGAAAGGAACAAAGCAUGUAUAUAUGAUAUUCAAGAGAUAAGCACAAAAAACACAUUGUUCCUGUCUGUUUUAUUUAUAAUAGUUCCAAACUGUCCACCCACAGUAGAAAGGACAUUUUGGUAUGUUCAUAUAAUAGAAAGUAUUUAGUAUUGAGAAACGUUAAACCACAGC